RNAcentral lists this long non-coding RNA (605 nucleotides) under Mus musculus (house mouse). RNAcentral's name for it is "long non-coding RNA, embryonic stem cells expressed 1". The record is from RNAcentral. Lineage: Eukaryota; Metazoa; Chordata; Mammalia; Rodentia; Muridae.
GCCCUUUUUGGAAUGGAGACAGCAGAGAGCUCGUCUGAGUUCAAGAGGGAAAGAUAUGGUGGCCAAGCAUGAGGUGCUCCACAAAGGCCGUGGGGGAUUUGAAGCACGAGGGCACAGGUGCUAAACUACCCCAGAGUCAGCAAGGUCAGCUUCAUUUUACUGAGCUGUCACUCAUACUGAAGGGGCCUGCCCUCCUGUGUCCGGUAUGCAAAGCAUCUUUCCUGGCCACUCCGGUAAUCUUUGCAGCCUCAGCCUCAUCAACUCUGCUUCAUGCUGUUCAUGUCAAUGGAAAACAAUUAGAUAACGCAAUCAACAGGCUGGAGAGAAGAAGUUUGGUUUGGAGUGAGAAUCUCUGUGCAGUUAGCAAAAUACAGUUACACUAAUUUAUAUUGCUUGUAUUCCAUCUGCUUUCUGGUUUAAAACGUCUUGGAUUGCCUCAGACUCUGUAUAUGUAAUAUUUUCCAUUUACAAAAAUGUCCUGCAUCACCCAUCAGCGCCCCCCCCCCGCUCUUUCUUUCUUUCUUUCUUUCUUUCUUUCUUUCUUUCUUUCUUUCUUUCUUUCUUUCUUUCUUUCUUUCUUUUUAAAGAGAGCUUUUGAAAACUGA